GACAGAGGGUGCGAACGUUGUUCGGAAUUACUGGGCGUAAAGCGCAUGUAGGCGGCCGCGCAGGUCGGAUGUGAAAUCCCUCGGCUCACCCGAGGACGUGCAUUCGAAACCGCGCGGCUCGAGUCCUGGAGAGGGUCGUGGAAUUCUCGGCGUAGAGGUGAAAUUCGUAGAUAUCGGGAGGAACACCGGCGGCGAAAGCGGCGACCUGGACAGAGACUGACGCUGAGAUGCGAAAGCGUGGGGAGCAAACAGG
This 253-nucleotide ribosomal RNA is filed under the name uncultured bacterium. RNAcentral's name for it is "partial 16S ribosomal RNA". It matches the Rfam family "Bacterial small subunit ribosomal RNA", at positions 524 to 776 of the family's 1533-position model. The record is from RNAcentral.